GGUUUAAUAUUCAAAAUGAUGAUUUUAAAUUGCAAAUUUAAAGGUGGGACAUUCCUUAAACCU
Molecule: transfer RNA, 63 nt
Filed under: Sciodrepoides watsoni
Lineage: Eukaryota; Metazoa; Arthropoda; Insecta; Coleoptera; Leiodidae
Description: tRNA-Cys
Source: RNAcentral